Molecule: ribosomal RNA, 762 nt
Filed under: uncultured bacterium
Lineage: Bacteria
Description: bacterial SSU rRNA
Rfam family: Bacterial small subunit ribosomal RNA
Source: RNAcentral
AGAGUUUGAUCAUGGCUCAGGAUGAAUGCUGGCGGCGUGCCUAACACAUGCAAGUCGAGCGGCAGCGCGAGUAGUUUACUACUUGGCGGCGAGCGGCGGACGGCUGAGUAACGCGUGGGAACAUGCCCCAAAGUGAGGGAUAAGCACCGGAAACGGUGUCUAAUGCCGCAUAUGGUCUUCGGAUUAAAGGAUUUAUCCGCUUUGGGAGUGGCCUGCGUACGAUUAGAUAGUUGGUGAGGUAAAGGCUCACCAAGUCGACGAUCGUUAACUGGUCUGAGAGGAUGAUCAGUCAGACUGGAACUGAGACACGGUCCAGACUCCUACGGGAGGCAGCAGUGAGGAAUCUUCCACAAUGGGCGAAAGCCUGAUGGAGCAACGCCGCGUGAAGGAUGAAGGCCCUAGGGUCGUAAACUUCUUUUAUGAGUGAAGAAUAUGACGGUAACUCAUGAAUAAGCACCGGCUAACUACGUGCCAGCAGCCGCGGUCAUACGUAGGGUGCAAGCAUUAUCCGGAGUGACUGGGCGUAAAGAGUUGCGUAGGCGGUUAGUAAAGCGAAUAGUGAAACCUGGUGGCUCAACCAUUCAGACUAUUAUUCGAACUCACUAACUCGAGAAUGGUAGAGGUAAUUGGAAUUUCUUGUGUAGGAGUGAAAUCCGUAGAUAUAAGAAGGAACACCAAUGGCGUAGGCAGAUUACCGGACCAUUUCUGACGCUAAGGCACGAAAGCGUGGGGAGCGAACCGGAUUAGAUACCCCGGUAGUCC